AGGAUCCAAGGCUCAGAAAGAGAAGGAGGUAUAUGAGAAGCUGAGGGAAGCAAGGGAGAGCAUUUCAAUAACAGGGAGACAUGGUGGACCAAUGUAGAGAGACUCUUGGAUUGGGUAACUGAGAGAUUCUGUACUGACAGAAAAAUUUCAACAAGAUAGCUUCAACUUGAAGAAAGAGCAAGGUUAAGGAAGAUUCUGGAGGCUGAUUUUCUUGUUCUUGUUGUUUAAGUCUUGGAGGUGCCUGAAGACGUCUACAAGUGGAAGAAAAGAAACCACUGGAGCGGAAGGUGGGGAGGAUAAAAUUUGGAGCAAGAUUCUCAAGGAAGCAACAAAAUCCUAAGGCCACUGCUUUGCUGAGUCAUUCUACUAUGCGGCCCCUCAGACACAAAGCCCGGCGGCCACCUGCCCACAGAGGCACAGAGGGCCAGCCAACUGCAAGCUCGGAACUUCAGGAUCUUGCUUUUCAGAUGAAGAAAGUGGUCAGCAUCUUCUCCAGAUCAGAAAAAUUGCAUUUGUUUUCCCUUUUUAUUGUGAAGUUUCAAACAUAUACAAGUUAGCAGAAAUUAUUAAAUGAUUGCCUCUUGGCCUUUUGGCUAAGAUCAAGGGUAAAAAAUUAUUAAAUGAGCAAUUAAAAACACUUUUGAAACAAAAUAAAAAAUAAAAAAAUCUAAGUAAAGGAAUAUAA
RNAcentral lists this long non-coding RNA (685 nucleotides) under Piliocolobus tephrosceles (Ugandan red Colobus). Its description in RNAcentral is "lncRNA (ENSPTEG00000030177.1)". Lineage: Eukaryota; Metazoa; Chordata; Mammalia; Primates; Cercopithecidae. The record is from RNAcentral.